GCCAGGCACGAUGGCUCAUGCCUGUAAUCCCAACACUUUGGGAGGCUGAGGUGGGUGGAUCACCUGAGGUCAGGAGUUCAAGACCAGCCUGACCAACAUGGUGAAACCCCAUCUCUA
Macaca mulatta (Rhesus monkey) is the source of this 117-nucleotide unclassified non-coding RNA. It matches the Rfam family "Metazoan signal recognition particle RNA". Rfam says of the family: The signal recognition particle (SRP) is a universally conserved ribonucleoprotein. It is involved in the co-translational targeting of proteins to membranes. The eukaryotic SRP consists of a 300-nucleotide 7S RNA and six proteins: SRPs 72, 68, 54, 19, 14, and 9. NCBI's taxonomy places the organism in Eukaryota, Metazoa, Chordata, Mammalia, Primates, Cercopithecidae. The record is from Ensembl.